AUUUUGACCCGGCAGGCAGGUACCACGAAUACAAAGGUGGUUUUCCCAGGGCGAGGCUUAUCUAUUGCACCCUGUAUUUGCUGACCCCUGCGAUUUCCCCUAAUGCCGGUAAUCUCCCGAUUUUGUGCUUCAAAGUUAGACUCUAAGUAUGUACUCU
Microtus oregoni (creeping vole) is the source of this 157-nucleotide small nuclear RNA. RefSeq annotates it as U1 spliceosomal RNA. The record is from RefSeq and is a predicted model, not a curated record. The transcript has a single exon. Lineage: Eukaryota; Metazoa; Chordata; Mammalia; Rodentia; Cricetidae.